GAACGGUAGAGUAGCAAUACUCGAGAGUGGCGAACGGGUGGGUAAUAUAUCGGAACGUGCCCAGUCGUGGGGGAUAACGUAAAGAAAUUUACGCUAAUACCGCAUACGAUCUAAGGAUGAAAGCGGGGGACUCGCAAGAGCCUCGCGCGAUUGGAGCGGCUGAUAUCAAAUUAGGUUGUUGGUGAGGUAAAAGCUCACCAAGCCGACGAUCUGUAGCUGGUUUGAGAGAACGACCAGCCACACUGGGACUGAGACACGGCCCAAACUCCUACGGGAGGCAGCAGUGGGGAAUUUUGGACAAUGGGCGAAAGCCUGAUCCAGCAAUGCCGCGUGCGGGAAGAAGGCCUUCGGGUUGUAAACUGCUUUUGUACGGAACGAAACGGUCUGCUUUAAUACAGCGGGCUAAUGACGGUACCGUAAGAAUAAGCACCGGCUAACUACGUGCCAGCAGCCGCGGUAAUACGUAGGGUGCGAGCGUUAAUCGGAAUUACUGGGCGUAAAGCGUGCGCAGGCGGUUAUAUAAGACAGUUGUGAAAUCCCCGGGCUCAACCUGGGAAUUGCAUCUGUGACUGUAUAGCUAGAGUACGGUAGAGGGGGAUGGAAUUCCGCGUGUAGCAGUGAAAUGCGUAGAUAUGCGGAGGAACACCGAUGGCGAAGGCAAUCCCCUGGACCUGUACUGACGCUCAUGCACGAAAGCGUGGGGAGCAAACAGGAUUAGAU
RNAcentral lists this ribosomal RNA (720 nucleotides) under uncultured bacterium. Its description in RNAcentral is "bacterial SSU rRNA". It matches the Rfam family "Bacterial small subunit ribosomal RNA", at positions 64 to 783 of the family's 1533-position model. The record is from RNAcentral.